CCUACGGGUGGCAGCAGUGAGGAAUAUUGGUCAAUGGCCGAGAGGCUGAACCAGCCAAGUCGCGUGAGGGAAGAAUGUCCUAUGGAUUGUAAACCUCUUUUGUCAGGGAGCAAAGUCACCCACGUGUGGGUGUUGGAGAGUACCUGAAGAAAAAGCAUCGGCUAACUCCGUGCCAGCAGCCGCGGUAAUACGUAGGUGGCAAGCGUUGUCCGGAAUUACUGGGUGGAAAGGGAGCGCAGGCGGGAAGCCAAGUCAGCUGUGAAAACUACGGGCUUAACUUGUAGACUGCAGUUGAAACUGGUAUUCUUGAGUGAAGGAGAGGUAGGCGGAAUGCCGGGUGUAGCGGUGAAAUGCGUAGAUAUUCGGAGGAACACCGGUGGCGAAGGCGGCCAACUGGGUUUUAACUGACGCUGAGGCUCGAAAGCGUGGGUAGCAAACAGGAUUAGAUACCCGAGUAGUC
RNAcentral lists this ribosomal RNA (460 nucleotides) under uncultured bacterium. RNAcentral describes it as "partial 16S ribosomal RNA". It matches the Rfam family "Bacterial small subunit ribosomal RNA", at positions 338 to 795 of the family's 1533-position model. The record is from RNAcentral.